Long non-coding RNA from Rosa chinensis, 3737 nucleotides. RefSeq lists it as uncharacterized. The transcript is spliced from 14 exons. NCBI's taxonomy places the organism in Eukaryota, Viridiplantae, Streptophyta, Magnoliopsida, Rosales, Rosaceae. The record is from RefSeq and is a predicted model, not a curated record.
UACAUCAAACAUAUUCAAGUAUGAACAUGCUUGUAAACUACUGACAAAAAUUAUACAUAUAUUGAAAGAUGAGUUCACUGUUACUAUUGUUCAUCAAAGGGAAGAAAAGUCGAUUUUGCCCUUGCUGUUCGUGGAGAAUAUCAAGCUGGUCUUCUAUAAAACGUGAAUAAAGAACCAAAUAGGGGAUUCGGGAACCUUCGCAAAAACAAAAAAAAAAGAAUCACCGACUGAAAGAGAGUUGAAAUCGACAGAGAGAGUGAGAGUGAGAGUUCGUUCUUAUCUAUCUCAUAGUCAGAAGAAAGAAAAUUGAAAUCGACAGAAAGAGAGAGAGAGAGAGAGAGAGAGAGAGAGAGAGAGUUUGGUUCGAUCUUGGUCUCUGAUGUGGUUCUUCGUCUCGCUUAGAUUGAUAGUGAGGGAGGUUGUUGAUCGGCAUAGACAGGUCUCAAUUUUCGUUUGUUUCCAGCUUGGAGGCAUAAAAGAUUGUAUCUGAAUUGCAAAGCUCUGAUUUUUGGUGUGGAUGGAGGAUUUUAAUUAGCCGAGCUCUUUCUUUCUGUUCUUAUCAAUUGAUGCCCGAGUAUAUAAAGCAAAACGUGUAAUCUGCUGUGUUCGGGAAGCCUCCAUCAACAUCCAGAAUCACUGUUAGUAACCUCAGAGUCGGCAAUCAUGCAGAAUCACCAACAGUGAGGACUCAGUAAGAGUUCGACUUUGUAAGAUCAACAUCAAUAUCGUCGUUAUCCAUCUUUUCUUCACAUACCCAAACUGAUUUUGUUUGAUUUUCAUGAUAUAAUCGUCUUUCUGAAAACGAUUGAUGUUAGAUUGGUUUUCUGUCAUUUGCAGUCUCUGUAAAAGUUCAAGGAGUGAGAUACAAAAGAGCAAAGGACAAAUCAAUUUACGUUUGUUUUGGAAAAGGGCACGAUCUGCUGCACGAAUGAGAUUCAGAGAAAAUUCUUGACUGCCAAUUCUAAUCCCCUUAACAGAGGUUUUGUGCAAAGGAGUAUGUGGAUUGUUCUUUUGCCACUGUUCCUGGUUUUGUUAAUUGUUGUUAGUUGGUUGUCCUAUCGUGGUUUAGGUAUCUAACUUUUGCCUUUAGAUUAUUGAAUGUUCAGGUAUUUUUGUGAUUACUCGGCAGGGGGUAUAUUUGAUAGAGGGUAUGCAAUGUUAUGGUUGAUUGUAUAGAGAUGGUUUGUUUGGCCGUUGUUGUAUUUGGAUGAUAGAAUUUGUUUCGGUUAUGGUGGUUUAUAUAGUUGUAAUAGAUGGUUUGUUUGGUUUUGUUCAGCAGACAUUGGGAACAGUGUGCGAUCAAAUUUUGGAAGUGCUUUGAAUUCAGUCUCUAUAAAAGGUCAAGCACUAAGAUACGAAAGAGAAGACAACAAAUCAGUUUGGGUUCAUUCUGGAAAAGAUUUUAUGUUUUUGCCUAGACUGGUUAAGGAGCUUGAUGAUGCAGCAGUCAAAGUUCAGAAAGUUUUGUAUAUCAAACUCAAAGAAACCUUGCAGAUCGUGCAGUGGUGGCUGAGGAGAUGGAAACCUUUUAGAUUCUGCAGCUCUCAAGCAGAGUUCUGUGUCAUUCUUCGAUGUUGAGAAGCCGGAAACCGCCUCUUUGUGGUAGGCAAGGGCUAGGACUAGGCUGCGAAGAUUGGAAAAUGUUUGUCUAAGGAUGAGAAAACACAAAACUUAGCUCUUCAACAUUGGCUUGAAGCUAUUGAUCCACGCCAUCGGUAUAGACACAAUUUACACAUGUACUACGAGUUGUGGUUUGAAAGUCAGAGUAGCCAGCUUUCUUCUACUGGCUGAAUGUUGGAGAUGGCAAGGAAACAAAUCUUGAGCUAUGCUCGAGGACAGUUCUAUAGAGCCAAUGCAUCAAGUACCUUGGACCGAAAGUCAUUGACUGGAAAAGUCAAAGGACAAGGCAUUUCUAUGGAGAGCUCUAAGAGGAGUUUCCACAGUAAUAUGCCCAAAUGUAUGCAAUAUCUACACCUGGAACUUACUGACUUAAUUUUUGUCUUCCUAUAUUAUCACGUAAAACAUGCUCCAUACAUUAUACAUAGAUCCCAAUUCACUAACUUUAUAUUGCUCUUACUUUUGAUAUUCUUAUAUUAUAAUUUUGCUGUGACAAUGAUAUUGUAAUCUAUAUCUACUGUUGCAAAGCCAUUUAGUUUCUUAGUUGUCGCAAUUUUCUUGACAUCAUACUUAUUUUGAAAUUGAAACUUUAAAAAUGUCUUUUGAAUGUUAUUUCUUUUGUCAGGAUGGUUUCUCAUCUAAUGUUGGGACCUUGAAAUGGGUAAACCAUGUCAUUCUCUUAUCUCAGGUGCCUCUCUCUCUUCCUCUCAGUGUUAGAAACAUCACCACUGUAAAGGAAUUGUUUUUUUUUACUAUGAUUAAUAAAACUAGCAGUUAAAUGUUUACAAAGGUGCUGGUGGCAUUCAAGCUCUCAUGAAAAGCAAUGAAAGAAAAUUAGCCAAAGAAGAUGGGUCAAUACUGAUGGCCUCUGAAAUCCCUUACACCAUCAUCAGGGCUGGUUUGUUACAAAAACUCUCCACGUGAAAUUCAAGGCUUUUAACUUUAAAAAGAUCAGUUGAUACCAAAGUUUUCUCCUUUUUUUUUUUUUUUUUCCUUGCAGCCAUUAGAGAACUAACCGAAUAUAUGUGGAUCAAUUAUGCAUAGUUUCUUCAUGUCCUUUGUGAAAUUCAAAUCAGUUUGCUCUCUUUACAUUGUUGUAAUCUAAUAUACAUGGGGAAAAAAUAUGUACUGUUCACAUUUUGUAAAGGAGGCCUGAAUUUUGUAGCAAUUGUAAGCAAUCCUAGACGAUGUCUGAAUAGAUCAUUAUGUAAAGUUCACUCAUAUGAUACAAAAGUGCAUUGGUCGUAGGAGAUUCUAGGUGUUGCAAUGGCUCUUUUUUCAAAUGAAAGAGAAACAGUCCACAAACAAGUAGCUGCUGAAACAUCCCAUGCAGAAUGCAUACUUGGUCAUAUUCCCAAAUUUUGGAUUCUUAUGAUAUGUUUGAUAGAUUUGCUUAUAUUUACCAUGUGAUCAUUGGUUUCUUAUGAAUUACUACAGUUUUUUUUUUCUAUUGGUUUAGGUUGAUCUUUAUUUCAGCAAGAGUUUAUAUAUAACUAAGUGAAUCACUCUCUUCAGAUGCUAGGCAUGAAUUUCAAAUAUUUAAAUCAUGGUGGUUCUGUGGCAGGUUGAAACUGAAUUUGAACACCAAUGGGAGAUGGUAAGGCGGAAGAAUGGAAAAAUGCGAUUCACAAUGGUGAACAUGUUUGGGGUUAGCAGACUGUUGUUCAUGUUCACUAUUUUAGCACAGUAGAAGAUAAAAAGCUAAAAGAGGGUCGAGUGAGAAAUUGCUUUUAGAUAAAGAGAACAAAAGCCAAUGCGACAGGAAUAACUGAGGGAACCCAUUCAAAGCAUCUGAAGCAUGGAUAGAGUGCCUAUUGAAAAAAUGAAAAGCUUUUCAUCAGCAAAGGUGAUAUGGCAAUAACAGCUUGGACUGUGGACCAGCAGCAUGAGAUGAAUAUCCAUGUAGAUCGUGUAUCAUUAUGCAACAUCCAUCACACACUUUUCAUUUGUAUUCUGUUUAUUCCUUCAUUAAACUAUGUAUACCAAGUUUGAUUUCUCCAUCAGAAUUAGUAAUAAGUUCAAACAAAACAAAAUCUGUAAAUUUCAACAAAGAUAAUUGGUAUUUCUACUAUGUAAUGUAACAAGAUCAAUCAUAAUCUCCACCAUGUAACAAUAAGUCU